RNAcentral lists this ribosomal RNA (449 nucleotides) under uncultured bacterium. Its description in RNAcentral is "bacterial SSU rRNA". It matches the Rfam family "Bacterial small subunit ribosomal RNA", at positions 355 to 801 of the family's 1533-position model. The record is from RNAcentral.
UGAGGAAUAUUGGACAAUGGGCGCAAGCCUGAUCCAGCCAUGCCGCGUGCAGGAUGACGGUCCUAUGGAUUGUAAACUGCUUUUGUACAGGAAGAAACAGUUCUACGUGUAGAACCUUGACGGUACUGUAAGAAUAAGGAUCGGCUAACUCCGUGCCAGCAGCCGCGGUAAUACGGAGGAUCCAAGCGUUAUCCGGAAUCAUUGGGUUUAAAGGGUCCGUAGGCGGUUAGAUAAGUCAGUGGUGAAAGCCCAUCGCUCAACGGUGGAACGGCCAUUGAUACUGUCUGACUUGAAUUAUUAGGAAGUAACUAGAAUAUGUAGUGUAGCGGUGAAAUGCUUAGAGAUUACAUGGAAUACCAAUUGCGAAGGCAGGUUACUACUAAUGGAUUGACGCUGAUGGACGAAAGCGUGGGUAGCGAACAGGAUUAGAUACCCCCGUAGUCCCUGAG